CCCUUAGAUGUUCUGGGCAGCACGCGCGCUACAAUGGUCUUCGCAAACGGAUGCAUUCUCGAAGGAGAAUGCCAAUCUUGGAAUCUAUGCCUUGGUCGGGACAGUUGCUUGCAAUUUUUCGACUCGAACCAGGAAUGCCUUGUAAUCGUGAUUCAUCACAUCACGAUGAAUACGUCCCUGCCCUUUGUACACACCGCCCGUCGCUCCUACCGAUCGAAGAGUUAGGUGAAUUGUUUUGAUCGAUAAGAUUUGACUAUGGUCAACUCUCGUUGUGAAAUUCUGUGAAUCUGACUGUUUAGAGGAAGGAAAAGUCGUAACA
This 319-nucleotide ribosomal RNA is filed under the name uncultured eukaryote. Its description in RNAcentral is "partial 18S ribosomal RNA". It matches the Rfam family "Eukaryotic small subunit ribosomal RNA", at positions 1470 to 1796 of the family's 1831-position model. The record is from RNAcentral.